RNAcentral lists this ribosomal RNA (468 nucleotides) under uncultured bacterium. Its description in RNAcentral is "partial 16S ribosomal RNA". It matches the Rfam family "Bacterial small subunit ribosomal RNA", at positions 28 to 507 of the family's 1533-position model. The record is from RNAcentral.
GACGAACGCUGGCGGCGUGCUUAACACAUGCAAGUCGAACGGAAAGGCCCUGCUUUUGUGGGGUGCUCGAGUGGCGAACGGGUGAGUAACACGUGAGUAACCUGCCCUUGACUUUGGGAUAACUUCAGGAAACUGGGGCUAAUACCGGAUAGGAGCUCCUGCUGCACGGUGGGGGUUGGAAAGUUUCGGCGGUUGGGGAUGGACUCGCGGCUUAUCAGCUUGUUGGUGGGGUAGUGGCUUACCAAGGCUUUGACGGGUAGCCGGCCUGAGAGGGUGACCGGCCACAUUGGGACUGAGAGACGGCCCAGACUCCUACGGGAGGCAGCAGUGGGGAAUAUUGCACAAUGGGCGGAAGCCUGAUGCAGCAACGCCGCGUGCGGGAUGACGGCCUUCGGGUUGUAAACCGCUUUCGCCUGUGACGAAGCGUGAGUGACGGUAAUGGGUAAAGAAGCACCGGCUAACUACGUG